GAUGAACGCUGGCGGCGUGCUUAAUACAUGCAAGUCGAGCGAACAGACGAGUAGCUUUCUCCUCUGAUUUUAUCGCCAGACGGUUGAUUAAAACUUAGUUAACUGACCUCUAAUCCUGGGUUACUUCCUGGAAACCCGGGCAAUUCCCGGUUUAUAUAUUGAUCCGCAUGGUUCUGUAGUGAAAAACUUUUUUUUUGUCACUUUUAGAUGGAUCGGCGCCGCAUUAGCUAGUUGGUAUGGUAACGGCUUUCCAAGGCAACGGUGCGUAGCCGACCUGAGAGAGUGGUCGGCCACACAGGCACUGAGACACGGUCCAGACUCAUACGGGAGGCAGCAGUAGGGGAUGUGCCGUGAUGGGCGGAAGGCUGACGGAUGAACGCCGCGUGAGUGAUGAAGGUAGGCGUAUCGGAAGAGACUGUUCUUAGGGAGGAACAAAUGUGUAAGUAGUUAUGCACGGCUUGACGGUACCUGAGUAGAAAGCCACGGCUAACUACGUG
RNAcentral lists this ribosomal RNA (497 nucleotides) under uncultured bacterium. RNAcentral's name for it is "partial 16S ribosomal RNA". It matches the Rfam family "Bacterial small subunit ribosomal RNA", at positions 28 to 507 of the family's 1533-position model. The record is from RNAcentral.